GUCUACAGCCAUGCCACUCUGAACAAGCCCAAUGUCUGAUUUCGGAAGCAGGGUCAGGCCUAGUUAGUACUUAGAUGGGAAAGCAGGGUCAGGCCUGGUUAGUACUUAGAUGGGAAACCACCUAGGAAGAGCAGGUGCUGUAGGUA
RNAcentral lists this ribosomal RNA (146 nucleotides) under Pteropus alecto (black flying fox). The record is from RNAcentral. Lineage: Eukaryota; Metazoa; Chordata; Mammalia; Chiroptera; Pteropodidae.